RNAcentral lists this ribosomal RNA (443 nucleotides) under uncultured bacterium. RNAcentral's name for it is "bacterial LSU rRNA". It matches the Rfam family "Bacterial large subunit ribosomal RNA", at positions 381 to 817 of the family's 2925-position model. The record is from RNAcentral.
AAAGUUAUUGAUCUCCUUAAUCGAACACCCAAGUACUGCGGAACACGUGAAAUUCUGUGGGAAUUGUGAGGACCAUCUCAUAAGGCUAAAUACUACCUGGCAACCGAUAGUGAACCAGUACCGUGAGGGAAAGGUGAAAAGAACCCCUGUGAGGGGAGUGAAAUAGUACCUGAAACCGUUUGCUUACAAGCAGUGGGAGCACGUUUGUCUUCGGACGAGUGUGACCGCGUGCCUUUUGCAUAAUGAGUCAGCGAGUUAAUCUACGUAGCGAGGUUAAGCCGUAAGGUGUAGCCGUAGCGAAAGCGAGUCUUAAAUGGGCGACGAGUUGCGUGGAUUAGACCCGAAACCAAGUGAUCUAUCCAUGGCCAGGGUGAAGCGUGAGUAAAAUCACGUGGAGGCCCGAACCGGUACACGUUGAAAAGUGUUCGGAUGAGCUGUGGAUA